This 493-nucleotide ribosomal RNA is filed under the name uncultured bacterium. RNAcentral describes it as "partial 16S ribosomal RNA". It matches the Rfam family "Bacterial small subunit ribosomal RNA", at positions 28 to 507 of the family's 1533-position model. The record is from RNAcentral.
GACGAACGCCGGCGGCGUGCUUAACACAUGCAAGUCGAACGGUGAAGGGACCGGUUUUUGCUGGUUCUGGAUGAGUGGCGAACGGGUGAGUAACACGUGAGUAACCUGCCCCCUUCUUCUGGAUAACCGCAUGAAAGUGUGGCUAAUACGGGAUAUUCUGCGCCUGCUGCAUGGUGGGUGUGGGAAAGAUAUUGUUUCGGUGGGGGAUGGGCUCGCGGCCUAUCAGCUUGUUGGUGGGGUGAUGGCCUACCAAGGCGGUGACGGGUAGCCGGCCUGAGAGGGUGGACGGUCACACUGGGACUGAGACACGGCCCAGACUCCUACGGGAGGCAGCAGUGGGGAAUAGUGCACAAUGGGCGCAAGCCUGAUGCAGCGACGCCGCGUGAGGGAUGGAGGCCUUCGGGUUGUAAACCUCUUUCGCCAGUGAAGCAGGCCUGUCCCUUUUGUGGGUGGGUUGACGGUAGCUGGAUAAGAAGCGCCGGCUAACUACGUG